RNAcentral lists this ribosomal RNA (811 nucleotides) under Calothrix contarenii BDU 40141. RNAcentral's name for it is "bacterial SSU rRNA". It matches the Rfam family "Bacterial small subunit ribosomal RNA", at positions 652 to 1460 of the family's 1533-position model. The record is from RNAcentral. Lineage: Bacteria; Bacillati; Cyanobacteriota; Cyanophyceae; Nostocales; Calotrichaceae.
UAGGGGUAGAGGGAAUUCCCAGUGUAGCGGUGAAAUGCGUAGAUAUUGGGAAGAACACCGGUGGCGAAAGCGCUCUACUGGACCGUAACUGACACUGAGGGACGAAAGCUAAGGUAGCGAAAGGGAUUAGAUACCCCUGUAGUCUUAGCCGUAAACGAUGGAUACUAGGCGUUGUCUGUAUCGACCCGGACAGUGCCGAAGCUAACGCGUUAAGUAUCCCGCCUGGGGAGUACGCACGCAAGUGUGAAACUCAAAGGAAUUGACGGGGGCCCGCACAAGCGGUGGAGUAUGUGGUUUAAUUCGAUGCAACGCGAAGAACCUUACCAAGAUUUGACAUCCCGUGAAUCUUGCAGAGAUGCGAGAGUGCCUUCGGGAGCACGGAGACAGGUGGUGCAUGGCUGUCGUCAGCUCGUGUCGUGAGAUGUUGGGUUAAGUCCCGCAACGAGCGCAACCCUCGUCCUUAGUUGCCAGCAUUAAGUUGGGCACUCUAGGGAGACUGCCGGGGACAACUCGGAGGAAGGUGGGGAUGACGUCAAGUCAUCAUGCCCCUUACAUUUUGGGCUACACACGUACUACAAUGGUCGGGACAAAGGGCAGCAACCCCGCGAGGGCAAGCGAAUCUCAUCAAACCCGGCCUCAGUUCAGAUUGCAGGCUGCAACUCGCCUGCAUGAAGGAGGAAUCGCUAGUAAUCGCAGGUCAGCAUACUGCGGUGAAUCCGUUCCCGGGCCUUGUACACACCGCCCGUCACACCAUGGAAGCUGGCAACGCCCGAAGUCGUUACUCUAACCGUUCGCGGAGGAGGGCGCCGAA